This 274-nucleotide unclassified non-coding RNA is filed under the name Bombus terrestris (buff-tailed bumblebee). Its description in RNAcentral is "misc RNA ENSBTSG00005038269.1". The record is from RNAcentral. Lineage: Eukaryota; Metazoa; Arthropoda; Insecta; Hymenoptera; Apidae.
AUGGGCCAGUUACGAUACCGAUAGUAUUAGCAUGACUGAAACACAUUGCCGUCUCAGUAAAACCAUUUUAUUUCAAGCUUCACGCUACAGUUCUGAAUCCGGACAAGACCGUUUCAAGUUCUCGCAAAAGCAAGCAGUCAAAUUAAGGUACUUACACGAGUUAGAGUCUAAUACAUUUUAUUGGUCCAACAUCGAUGGGGCGAUCUCGCAUCGAAAUUUUCGGAGGACCGCGUAACCUUCCAACGACGACCGCCGUACGAGCAGCGGAUAAACU